Molecule: ribosomal RNA, 455 nt
Filed under: uncultured bacterium
Lineage: Bacteria
Description: bacterial SSU rRNA
Rfam family: Bacterial small subunit ribosomal RNA
Source: RNAcentral
UACGGGAGGCAGCAGUGGGGAAUAUUGCACAAUGGGCGAAAGCCUGAUGCAGCUAUGCCGCGUGUAUGAAGAAGGCCUUAGGGUUGUAAAGUACUUUCAUCGGGGAGGAAAAAACAAAACUAAUAAUUUUAUUUCUUGACGUUACCCGAAAAAGAAGCACCGGCUAACUCCGUGCCAGCAGCCGCGGUAAUACGGAGGGUGCUAGCGUUAAUCAGAAUUACUGGGCGUAAAGAGCACGUAGGUGGUUUUUUAAGUCAGAUGUGAAAUCCCUGGGCUUAACCUAGGAACUGCAUUUUGAAACUGAAAUACUAGAGUAUCGUAGAGGGAGGUAGAAUUCUAGGUGUAGCGGUGAAAUGCGUAGAUAUCUGGAGGAAUACCUGUGGCGAAAGCGGCCUCCUAAACGAAUACUGACACUGAGGUGCGAAAAGCGUGGGGAGCAAACAGGGAUUAGAUCC